GUCGAACGCUGGCGGCGUGCCUAAUACAUGCAAGUUGAGCGCUGAAGGUUGGUACUUGUACCAACUGGAUGAGCAGCGCACGGGUGAGUAACGCGUGGGGAAUCUGCCUUUGAGCGGGGGACAACAUUUGGAAACGAAUGCUAAUACCGCAUAAAAACUUUAAACACAAGUUUUAAGUUUGAAAGAUGCAAUUGCAUCACUCAAAGAUGAUCCCGCGUUGUAUUAGCUAGUUGGUGAGGUAAAGGCUCACCAAGGCGAUGAUACAUAGCCGACCUGAGAGGGUGAUCGGCCACAUUGGGACUGAGACACGGCCCAAACUCCUACGGGAGGCAGCAGUAGGGAAUCUUCGGCAAUGGACGAAAGUCUGACCGAGCAACGCCGCGUGAGUGAAGAAGGUUUUCGGAUCGUAAAACUCUGUUGGUAGAGAAGAACGUUGGUGAGAGUGGAAAGCUCAUCAAGUGACGGUAACUACCCAGAAAGGGACGGCUAACUACGUG
Molecule: ribosomal RNA, 497 nt
Filed under: uncultured bacterium
Lineage: Bacteria
Description: partial 16S ribosomal RNA
Rfam family: Bacterial small subunit ribosomal RNA
Source: RNAcentral